UACGGAGGGUGCAAGCGUUACUCGGAAUCACUGGGCGUAAAGGGCGCGUAGGCGGCCUAGCAAGUCUGGCGUGAAAGCCCAGGGCUCAACCCUGGAAGGGCACUGGAAACUGUUAGGCUUGAGUUCCGGAGAGGAGGGGGGAAUUCCCGGUGUAGCGGUGAAAUGCGUAGAUAUCGGGAGGAAUACCGGUAGGGAAGGCGCCCCUCUGGACGGAAACUGACGCUGAGGCGCGGAUGCGUGGGGAGCAAUUAGG
Molecule: ribosomal RNA, 253 nt
Filed under: uncultured bacterium
Lineage: Bacteria
Description: partial 16S ribosomal RNA
Rfam family: Bacterial small subunit ribosomal RNA
Source: RNAcentral